GGUAAGGUGGCCGAGUAGGUGGCGGAUUGUAGCCCCGAAGACGGAGGUGAAAGACCUCCCCUUACCA
This 67-nucleotide transfer RNA is filed under the name Microhyla taraiensis. RNAcentral describes it as "tRNA-Tyr". It matches the Rfam family "tRNA". Rfam says of the family: Transfer RNA (tRNA) molecules are approximately 80 nucleotides in length. The record is from RNAcentral. Lineage: Eukaryota; Metazoa; Chordata; Amphibia; Anura; Microhylidae.